RNAcentral lists this ribosomal RNA (510 nucleotides) under uncultured bacterium. Its description in RNAcentral is "bacterial SSU rRNA". It matches the Rfam family "Bacterial small subunit ribosomal RNA", at positions 8 to 507 of the family's 1533-position model. The record is from RNAcentral.
AGAGUUUGAUCAUGGCUCAGAGUGAACGCUGGCGGCAGGCCUAAUACAUGCAAGUCGAACGGCAGCACAGCAGAGCUUGCUCUGUGGGUGGCGAGUGGCGUACGGGUGAGGAAUACGUGGGAAUCUGCCCAGUCGUGGGGGAUAACGUAGGGAAACUUACGCUAAUACCGCAUGCGCCCUUCGGGGGAAAGCCGGGGACCUUCGGGCCUGGCGCGAUUGGAUGAGCCCACGUCGGAUUAGCUAGUUGGCGGGGUAAAGGCCCACCAAGGCGACGAUCCGUAGCUGGUCUGAGAGGAUGAUCAGCCACACUGGAACUGAGACACGGUCCAGACUCCUACGGGAGGCAGCAGUAGGGAAUAUUGGACAAUGGGCGCAAGCCUGAUCCAGCCAUGCCGCGUGAGUGAAGAAGGCCCUCGGGUUGUAAAGCUCUUUUGUCCGGAAAGAAAAGCGCCGGGUUAAUACCCUGGUGUCCUGACGGUACCGGAAGAAUAAGCACCGGCUAACUUCGUG